GAAAUGCCUAAUUCUGGCAGGAUCCUGGUAACUUGGGUAACGGGCUGUUAGGAUGAGAAGCUUGGACUCCUCUCGUUUCCCCCUAAGACACUUUAGUCUGGGGCGGUCUCUGUGAUGCGGAAAUAUUUUCCUCUCCGGAGGGUUCCCUUCUCACCAUGUCUGGCUGGCGGCGUCCCAGAUGCCAUGUGAUGGUCAUUUGAAGACAGGACUGCCGGAUAUCAGGUUUCAUCCAAUUUUUGUGUUUAUCUGAAUUGUUGAUGCUGGAUGCAGGAGAAACCCAAGUGAUCAUUUUGUUAUUAAGGUAUCAAAGCAGCUUACAUUAGAAUGAAACUUUUCAGAAAGUUCAUGAAAGAUGCUGAAUGUCAUGGAAGGCCCAAAGUCCACAUGAGGAGAGAAGAUGCCUGAGACAAACAACUCCUAAUAAUAAUAAAUGUAAGAACUAAUUUUUUUUUGUAGCAUGUAGUACAUGUUACAUGAUUGUUUUAUGCCAUUUUAUCCUUUAACAACACCAUGAGGGACAUCCUGUUAUUCUCAUUUAAAUAUGUAGACAUUGGUAAGUACUGAAGCCAGGAUUCAGGAUUGAGACCCUAGCCAUCAAAAGGUGGCCAUUUUGAUGAUUGCAGGCUUCACCCUCCUAUGUACCCUGUAACAACUCAGCUAUUUGCCUUGGGAAGAAAUUGUUAAUGGUGAGUGAUGACAAUGUAGGACUGAGCUAGAGAGGAGAAUUCUAAGUCUGAAUUGAGGUUUCACUUAAUAAUAUUGAGCAGAAGAUGAUGAUGCAGGAGGCAUCAUGUGACAAAUAAAUUCCAAGAUCCUUUUAAACA
Long non-coding RNA from Marmota flaviventris (yellow-bellied marmot), 824 nucleotides. RefSeq lists it as uncharacterized. Lineage: Eukaryota; Metazoa; Chordata; Mammalia; Rodentia; Sciuridae. The record is from RefSeq and is a predicted model, not a curated record.